AGCGAACGCUGGCGGCAGGCUUAACACAUGCAAGUCGAGCGCCCCGCAAGGGGAGCGGCAGACGGGAGAGUAACACGUGGGAACAUACCUUUUGGUUCGGAACAACUGAGGGAAACUUCAGCUAAUACCGGAUAAGCCCUUACGGGGAAAGAUUUAUCGCCGAAAGAUUGGCCCGCGUCUGAUUAGCUAGUUGGUGAGGUAACGGCUCACCAAGGCGACGAUCAGUAGCUGGUCUGAGAGGAUGAUCAGCCUCACUGGGACUGAGACACGGCCCAGACUCCUACGGGAGGCAGCAGUGGGGAAUAUUGGACAAUGGGGGCAACCCUAAUCCAGCCAUGCCGCGUGAGUGAUGAAGGCCUUAGGGUUGUAAAGCUCUUUUGCCCGGGAAGAUAAUGACGGUACCGGGAGAAUAAGCCCCGGCUAACUUCGUG
Molecule: ribosomal RNA, 431 nt
Filed under: uncultured bacterium
Lineage: Bacteria
Description: partial 16S ribosomal RNA
Rfam family: Bacterial small subunit ribosomal RNA
Source: RNAcentral